RNAcentral lists this ribosomal RNA (373 nucleotides) under uncultured prokaryote. Its description in RNAcentral is "bacterial SSU rRNA". It matches the Rfam family "Bacterial small subunit ribosomal RNA", at positions 524 to 896 of the family's 1533-position model. The record is from RNAcentral.
UACGUAGGGUGCGAGCGUUAAUCGGAAUUACUGGGCGUAAAGCGUGCGCAGGCGGUUUCGUAAGCCAGAUGUGAAAUCCCCGGGCUUAACCUGGGAACUGCAUUUGGGACUGCGAGGCUAGAGUACGGCAGAGGGAGGUGGAAUUCCACGUGUAGCAGUGAAAUGCGUAGAUAUGUGGAGGAACACCGAUGGCGAAGGCAGCCUCCUGGGCUAGUACUGACGCUCAUGCACGAAAGCGUGGGGAGCAAACAGGAUUAGAUACCCUGGUAGUCCACGCCCUAAACGAUGACAACUAGUUGUUGGGGAUUUAACAUCCUUAGUAACGCAGCUAACGCGUGAAGUUGUCCGCCUGGGGAGUACGGUCGCAAGAUUA